This 38636-nucleotide long non-coding RNA is filed under the name Sorghum bicolor (sorghum). Its description in RNAcentral is "long non-coding RNA (SBIC_LNC000278)". The record is from RNAcentral. Lineage: Eukaryota; Viridiplantae; Streptophyta; Magnoliopsida; Poales; Poaceae.
AGAAACCUUCUGAUCUUAAAUUUCUUCACAGUAUUCUUUUUGGGAGGAAAGGCAAGGUAAAUCUUUGACAUAUACACAUAGACUCCUUUGUAACUACGUGAUGCAAAUUCAUCUAUCAUCCAAGCACUUUGUUGUAUCAAGUACAACUACAUGUAAAAUUUGCAAGGAAACUACCACACUUUAUUUCUUGAUAAGUGCUAGUCCCUCCAAUAUGUCUAAGCAGAGGAAGCACAUUUAAGAAUUUUGAUGAAGCGAAAGAAGCACAAUUAAGAAUGAACAUGAGUAAUUUGGCACCAUGGGUUGUGUAAUUGUGUUAUCCUUUUGCAUAUACUGUUCUGGAACCAAACACAUAAAGAAAUAAAAAAAUUCCAAAACAAAUAAUGCAAUGCCCUAAGUGAUAAUGCUUGUCAAAGUGAACUUUGCUCAGCGUGUACAGAUCUUAGCUGAUUGCAUGUCAGGUUUGUAUAUAAAGUAGCAAGAGUAAGGUUUGGCUAGUUUCCUGGUCACUUUUUUUUUGUACAAUUGUCUGCUCUAUUUUAUAUACUUUUAGCCCCAGCUAUUUAAAAGAUGGCUAGCUGUGGCUUGGAUUCUCAAGUGAAGUAUGCUUUUGUAUUCUUCCACUUGCUUCCUUAACAAAUCCUAAAGUGUGACAUUACUCUUGAAUGAUACUAACGCUAAGUUCUAUCUCUUAUGUUUCAGGCUGUUGAUUUUAAAGGACAUAUACUCCAGUUCUCUGGAUUUGUUUGGCAUGAGAGUGAUGUAAGCUUUUCUCAAAAGCUUAAUUAACUAGUCUACUUUAGUUUAUUCAAAUUGAUUAAUUUAGGCAGUUUUUAUUUGUAGGAAAAGCAGAGAGCCAAGGCAAAAGAGAAGCUUGACAAGUGUGUAAAAGACACACUGCUGGACCUCUGUUGGACCCUUGGUAUUCCAACUCCAAAAGCAAACAUUAGAAAGGUUUUGUUUUCCUGCCUUGUUCUUGGAAUUAUACUUUUUUUAAUUCAAUACAUGACAUUCUAAUAUUGUUUGGUUAACUCAUAUAGGAAGAUAUUGUGUCAAAGCUGUUGGACUUCAUUGCUGAACCUCACUCUGCAGCUGAUUCUGGGCUCUCUGAUGACCAGGUUACAACACCUAUACAUUGUGAUUAUAUUUUAUUAUCAGCUAGAUGCUGUUGCUGAUGUUUUGUGGUUGGAGUCGGAAUUAACUUACAAGAUUAUUCUCUCUGUGUGUUUUAUCCUUUUCCACUGGCCAGGGAUCAAAUUCUAAAAAACGCAAGAGAGGAGGUGAAAGUGCAAGUAAGACUGAUGAUAGCACACCUAGUAGGUCAAGGAAGGUACAGUGCCAAAAUUGUCUUACAUGGUGUGUUGAAUAUAAGUAUACAACUGAAAGCUCUGAACAUGACUUAAAGCUAUGAUAUAGCCUUCUUUAGUGGCCAUUUGACCCUAAGCAAAAAUGAAGCUUUUCUUCUUGCCUAUGUCUAUUGUGUACUUGCAAUGGUUAUUUGUACAGUCAUGGACUCAUGGUCAGUUGGCCAUCCUGCUUUGUAUCGUUUUAUUACCAACAUUCUCAUUGCCUGUUCUUGCUGCAGAAAUUUGUGGAUGGCAGUACUUCUAGUAAAAGGCAGAAGAAAGCGCUCCAGUAUGAUACUGAUGAGGAUGAGGAUGAAUCCAUGAAUUCUGACAGUGAGGAAAACAGGGAUGAAGAUUCAGAUGAAGCUGCUGACAAACAGGAAGGUGACUAUCGAUCUGGCAAAGAAAAGGCAGGGAAGAAGUUAUCAGAGGUAAAAGAAUCUUCAGGCAAAAAGAAGGCAAACACAGGGAGUGGCCACAAAUCAGGUCCUCCAAAGAAAAUUAUCAAAAGUCCAGUAAAAAAAGUGUCAUCCAAGGUUCAUGAGGAAAAAGGAAGCCCCAAUGAUAGUGCAAAGGUUUUUUCUAGGAAGAAAAAACCCACAGCAGAAAAGGAGAUCAAAGAAAAAAAGUCAUCAGGUAAAGUAGUGACCUAACUAGCCCAAAAUGCCCCCUUUUUGUUGGUGUUUGGAAAUUUCCAGUUCAGUUCAUAUUUACCCCACUGUGGUUCAUCAUUUCUGGAAAUCAUCCUUGUCUCUUAUUCUGGUGGAUAUUUUUGCUAAUCUUUUUUUUAGUUGUAGACCAUCAUGUGGUAAUUGCAUUGCACUACAUAUGAUUAUUGUUCUGCUUGUGUCAUGGUCACAGAAAUAUCUCACUUUAAUAUAAAAAUCAUCAAGGCAUAGGUACUUUUCUGUAAGAAAAGGCACAGGUAAUUUAUUAGUUUGCCCUAAAAGUGGAGAUAUUGUAUUUUAUCUAGGCAAAAAAAAGGUGGCAAAGGGUAAAGGAGAAUCAGCUGAAGCAGUUCUUCCCAGCAAGGACGAUCUGAGGAAGACCAUUACUGAAAUCCUCAAGAAAGUUGACUUCAACACGGUGAGUUACAACUUUCAGUGUAGCGUACAGAAAAUGGUGUCACUAUUGACUAUUUGCAAUUAACCAUCAAUUUGCCAAGUGUUAAAGGUAUCUAGAAUGGUGAUAGGAGUAUAGGACAAUGGUGAAUUAGUUGCUUUCAAGAGUGUUUUUACAGAUGUGAAUAGAUGUUUGGAAACAUGGGUAAUUGACAGUAGAAAUCAUACUUAUGUUCCAAUUUAUGUGAUUAUGUGUCUAUGAUUAUGGUAGCAUAGUCAAUUAUUUUGGAAUUGCACAGGUAUUUUCUCAGUUGUACUAGUUGUCAUGGUUUUUUUUUACCAACUUUCUGCUCUUCGUUUUUAAUUUCUUGUCAUAGUUUUUACUGACCUCUUUGGGUACCUGAUUUUGCAGGCAACUUUCAGUGACAUUCUUAAGAAGCUUGGUAAGAUUUUCAGACAUGUUUUUACUGAUUUUCUGUUGCUGAUACUAGAUGCACUAACAAACUUUAUCUUGUAGACGAUCACUAUAAAAUGGAUCUGACCCCAAAGAAAGAAGCCAUCAAAGUUAUGAUCCAAGAUGAGCUAACCAAGCUAUCAGAGGAGGAUGAAGAAGGAGAGGGAGACGGAGACAAGCAGCAGGAGCAGCCUCAGGCGAAGGAGAUCGAGGCAUGAGGAGGAUUCGCAGAACCCCAUAGCUGUAGUAACCGCUGUUAAUUAUCCUGUACUUAAUGCGUAUGCAGUUGCCUGUACAGGCAUCCUUUGUUGAUUAUUAUCGCCACCAGCUCGAGAACCUCACCCCCUGAUUGUGUAUGUUGUGAGACAUGAUGUGUAGGCAGCCUCCACACCUUUUAGCUGACUGAUGAUAGGAGAGUUACUCCUAGGCAAGGCAACUUGUGUUUUCUUCUAGAUUUGCAAAUGGUGUCAGAAACUCUGCAUUUGCUGCGGCAGAGCGUGUACUUAGUUGUUUCGUGAUAGGUCUGAAUAACACAUGGAUGGAUAUGGUAUCAGGCUGUAGUUUGAUCGUGUUGCCUUGAGUUCUUUACUUGAUCCGUUUCUUCUGUGGACUGUGGUGGAUCUAGAGGCCAUUUGUGCUUGGAAUUGUGCAUGGGCCUGUGGAGCGGGUGGAUCAAUCUUGAAUGUUUGUGUUUUGUUGGUAGCGUGCGCUUCUCUGAUGUCGUCCUGCCUGGGUUGGUUAUCUUGGUAAAGCUCCUCCAGUUCCUGCUGCUGUACCUGUACCCCGAGCGAGAACUGGAGUACUAUUCUUAACUUAUUUGCUGAAUCUUAUCUUGGUAAAGCUCCUCUAGUUCCUGCUGCUGUACCUGUACCCCGAGGCCCGAGCGAGAACUGGAGUACUAUUUGCUCAACUUAUUUGCUGAAUUAUUAGCUACUUAGCAGUGUUUUUCUUUUGUAAUAAAUUAGCGAACAACAAUUUUAACUGUUGCGUCAUCCUAGGUGUCGAAAUCAAUCCAAAAGGGCAGAAGCAAGGCAUGCACACCUUGCUCAACUUUUAUUUAAAUUUAUUUGGUGAAUCUGUUAGCUAUUCGGUAGUAUUUUUCUCUCAUAAUAAAUUAGCGAACAAUAAUUUUGACUGUUGCACCAUCCUAGACGUCGAAAAUCAAUCCAAAAGGGCAGAAGCAAGGCACGCACACCUCGCCCAACUUUUAUUUGCGACUUAAUUUUCCCAUUGGUGGGCGAUAUAUAGAUAGGCCUGAUGAUAAAAAAAAAAUAGCCCCGAAAUUAGGCCGACAAGACUUAAGGAACGGGCCCUAAAAGGGCCGGGUUGAAUAUGUUUAUAUACGAGCUAAAAAUGUUCGAUGGGACCAGGUGCAGCACAGCGUCCCGGGCCACAGUCCAGCACACCACACUUGGCUGUGAAUGAGCAAAAGAUGGUCGCUGGAUUCCGGUGCCUUCUCCCAGAUUAAAAAAAAAACUCAAAAAUAAAGACAAAAAAAAUAUAACAGCUGAGCCAUUUAGCGGCUAAAAGGUAUGGUCAUUAGCGGCUAUUCCUGAUCGAUAUAACAAUAACCUAGCUAAUUUUAGAUCAACCCAGGCCAGUCCACACCCAUGGCGAUGGUGCUCCAUGCUCUCUUGACGUGCCACGUAGUAACUGAAAUUUCCCAUUCAAUCUCUUGACGUCAACCGGCGGACGGACGCUUGGAGCUAAAUCUUUGUUUCAUGAAGCGUCUAUGGAUAUUUCGUAGAGGUCUAAAUAUUUUAUUUGGGUUUGGGGUAUAUUAAAAUAUGUCUCUAAUUUUUUGGAAUUUUUAAAAGUAUAGAGGCAUUUUCUGUGGUUUAAAAACCUUUAUAAAUUUUUUAACUAAAAGAAAAUUUAGUAAAAAGUGCAGUCACGAGAUCCAUGGUAAAAAAAAAGGAAAAGACAAAAUAGAGUAAAAGUACAAACUUUUGAUGUUUCCUCUGUUGUUUGAUGGAUGGAAGAAGACCACUUUAGCUCUCAACUUUCGUGAAAAUUUACUUUUCAUCUCUAAACUUUAAAAUCGGAUAAAUUACAUCCUUCAACUUUUGAAAUUGUAUAUACUAUAUCUCUAACAUAGUUAUAAGUAGUUUUGAAGCAAGAACAAAGAAAAUAAAGCCCACAUCAACGUUUGCCGGAGGGAAAAAAAGAAGAAACCGACGAAAUGAAGACGACAAAACCGAGUGAUGGUUAGAACUUUCGUCGUUUCUUAAAGAAACUUAUUUUUCUGGUCGACUGCAUUUGGAAGGAUCAAAGCCGUUGUGAUUGCGGCACUUUUCCCAUCUAUAUAGAUCAAAGUCGUCGCAAACCUUUUCAGUGCACCUAAAAUUCAAAAAAAAAAAACAAGAUUCUCAAUACAUGCAUAGAACAUUAAAUAUAAAUAAAAAAUAAUUAAUUAUACAGUUUGACUAUAAUUUACGACGUACAUCUUUUGAGUCUAGUUAGUUUAUAGUUAAACAAUAAUUAUAAUAUAAAGAAAAAUACUAAAGUAUAACGGCGUGGACGUGCAACAGGUCACGGCCCGGUCGCGGCGCCCCGUGACGCCUGUGCAGACGACGCAGCUCGGCGCCACAGGCCCCUGGCGCUCGGACCCACGUCCGGAGUGGCUCUCGACCCAGCGCACAUGGACACGUUCAACACGCACAUCAACAAUAGCAUGCUCACUAGCUCAGGACCAAACUCUAGCGUCUCCUCUCUUCGACGUCUCCAUUGUUUCAUCACAAGGUGUACACAUUUUCUUUGGUCUGUUAAGUUCACUUGUUAGGCUGGGUGCAAUGGCAAAUGUGUCUUUAAAAAAAGAAAAAUUGGCAAAUCUGGUUGACAACAUGCUUUGGACUGCACUAUAAGCAGUCGCAAUUUUCAGCUAAGAAUGCUCAGCCUCAGCCAAUGGAUUGGAUAUAUAAAACCAGAAUCCAGAGAGUUCAAAUGACCACAUCUAUUCAGGUCAAUUACUACCAAUAUCAGCAACAGACAUGCGGAACUGCCAAUCACCAUAGCCCGCUACAUGAAGAGUCUUGUACAGCGAGCACCUAGCAUGGUUCUUCCAGAAUGGUGCCAGCCGGCAAUCACCACAUAUGAACAAAAGCCAGACGCCACAGCCCACAAUGGCGUCUAGGGGUGACAAAAUGCCCGGUCUAUUCUAGAAUCUACCUGCUUCCAAAAUACCUACGUCCAGGUUGGGUCAGUGCAGCCACCAUGCCUUACUUUCCCUGUCAGCAGUGAACCGAUCAAUCACCUACCGCUUGCUAGAGCCUUUCAGGCGAUUGCCCUGCAUUUUAGGAGGCUUCUCAUCAACAGCACCAUCUUUGGACUUGCCGUCUCCGCUCUUCUCACCUCUGGGACGACCAGGCUUCUUUUUGGGCUUAUCGUCAGUAGCUUCAUCGUUCGACUUGCGACAUGGGCGACCCAUUUUAGGCUUCUUCUGUGCUUCAGCAUCAGCAUCAGCUUCUUUUUUAUUCUUGGGUUGGGCAGCUCCACUCUUCAACCUGAUGGACCAAUCACAUGACAAGCAGUGAUCAGAAUGUCUCAAAAUUUUCUGCAUCUCGUUGCAACUUCAGAUCUUCUAUAGCAAAAUUUCAACAAUAUACUACUGCAAAGCUGCUGCUUACCCCUCAGAGAAAGGAUCCAAGAAAUUUAUUACUUGGUUCAGAGCAUGAAGAGCAAUCUUCUUAAUCUGAACGCACCAGAUUGGACUCCAGGUCAGUCAUGUCAUAUCAAAUAGCACAUGAUAAAUAGAAACAAGAUAAAAUAUAUAGCAUGCCAACCUCCAGUUUAUCCUCUUUAGCCCUGUGACCAGGUGGAAGUCGCCUAAACUCUCCAGUCAGUUUUAUGCACUCAUCGACGUUUUCUGGGGAAACAAAGUCCAUUGCAACCUUGAUGCAAGACUGCACAAACAGAAACAGCUUCGAUUUAAGCAACAGGAUACAUUUGUUGCUGAAGUAAAAUAAAAAGGAGAGGUCUGUUGAGUUCAAUCGCACCUUCAGAUUCCUCACUUGGUGAGGACAUCCAGCAGGAAUAAAAACCGCUUCACCAAGCCUCUGCUCAAACGUCCAGGGUUCAACACCUAUACCAAGCAUGCAAUCACAUUAGAGAUAGGGCAGAACAGCACAAAGCACUGCAUUUCUAAGGUCUGAAUAGCUAACUAACCAUAUUCUUCCUUGAGCUUUCUCUUAUGCUCCUCAGUUAAGUAGAAAAUCUGAUCGUGAAUUGGGUGAAUAACCUGCAUCAUUUGGAUGACUAUUAGUCAGCAUAGGAAAAACAGAGGAAAUAAUUGCAAGGAAAACCAUACCUGUUUCACAGGAUUGCAAUUGAUAUGCCGGAAUUCUUUGGCAUGUUUCCUAAGAUAAUCUUGUAGCUUGUCAGAAUCUUCUCUUCGGAAAAUAUCCCACAAAGCACCACCAGUUUUCUCAUGGUCUCCACUCUUGCCCGUAAUACACUGAGCACCAUUAUGCAUCCCAGCAUAACUAUUAUUCUUGUCAAUGUAAUCUGAACACUGGCCUGCAUCUUUACAUGAGAUCUUUGAUGUUUCGUCAAUGGUUAAAUUCCUGGAAUCAGUAGAAGAUGAUAAUAGGUCUCGUUCAGUGCCAGAUUCUAAAACACCAUAAAGUUCCUGAAGAUCUUGUUCUUUCAUUUUCUUUCUGAGUUUCUCUAUCUUCUUAUGUUGAUAACCCUCAUAGGUCACUUGUGUUGUAUGUGUUAAUAUAUUUACCUGAUAAAAAACACACUGUCAGAAUUAAUGACUGUCAUAAUAAGCUAGGGACCCCAAGCAAGAGACAAAUAAGAAACAGCUAUCAAUUGUCACCAGCUGAGUAUACAGCCACAGCUUGAAAAAGAGUCAGAUCAGAGAAAGCAACGUAAAGAAAGUGAGACACAGAUUACCAAUAUAAGAUAAGGCAUUGCACAAGUUGAUUUUAUUCUACAAUGAAGGUACCAGACAACCACGAAUGUUAUAAAAUGAGAAGAGAAAAUCAUCAAUAACAGCACAUACUGCAUCAGACAUGUCGCAGUGAAGCUUGGUCACAGAAUCACCCCUGCCUAACUCUUGGUGAAAUCCAUAAGCAAUGUAAGUUUUGGGUCCAAGAUCUGGCUUCAGUGCACCAUCAGGAAGCUUGACUGCAAGAUUUAGUGGACCAUAUCGAGGAUCAGUGUACUCAGGAAAUGGCAAUGCACUGAUAAACUCAGCGCCAUGGCGAGGCAACCUCUGAUCAAAUGAACUAGAUGGUGGCCAGUCCUUCAGCUUAAGCAUCUCAGGCCAGUGUACUGUGGUGUGCAUUCUGCCUUUCAUAUAUCCCAUAAAAAACAUAUGUAUAUUAAUUUCCACCUGCAACAAAAAUUGUGCAUGCCAAGUACUUAAUAUUUUUUUUUGCAAGGAAAGUACUUAAUAUUUUACAAUUAGCAAUUAAUAACAGGGCUGUGAGGAAUCUAUGCAUGCAUACAGAUAACACGGUUCCUUCAAAAAAUGAAAUGGAAGUUAAAUUCACAGAUAUCUCAAACAUUAAUUUUAUUUUUACUUGUAAAGCAUGCCCAAUUUCUUGACAUGGUAAUAAAUAAAUCUUCUACCAGAGCUUUACAACCAUGAAAACCAGCAUGGGGACAAAGGUAUGCAACAGAGAAUAGCAGACAUCACCAAGUCAGGGAAGUGGUCCCAACCUUUCAUACUGCACCUAAUAAAGUCUAUAAAGAGAAAAGUAGCACAUCUAAGGGAAACACAAACAAAACCACAUUUAAAUAUAUACAAAAAGAAAGGUCACCAAAUCACAAACAUUUAGGGAAGUAGAAUUCCUAACCUCAUUCCAAUCAAGGCAGUCUAUUGCCCUGACAGCAAAGUGCUCAUCUUCAACAUCACCAUUAGUCUUUUUCUCUCGCAAUGCCCGCCACAUAACUAAUGGCUCCCAACUGAGACCAGAGGUCAACUGAAGAACGUCAGAAACUAUAACUGGCUCACCUUUUGUCCAAUGCAUCUGAAAGUGCACUAAGUCAUCCUCCUUGAUGGCAGUGGCAACUGGGCAGUAGAUGUGAUUAUCACUUGAGCCUUUCCUAUUUGCAGCCUCUCGCACAUCAUGAAUUCUUACACUUCCUGAAUGGUCAUAACAAGGGCACUGAUCAAUUCUUUUGGUUACUGCUUUUGCAAAUACUUUACUCCUCACAAUUCUGUCAGCUCGUUCUUCUAAGUCAGAAAGUAAUUUCUCUGGGAACAAGCAUUUGAGGUCCAAAACUGAACCACCACAGCCUCCUAGCUCCUUCGGUGGGCAACAUAUGCUACCAUCACUUUCUGAUUUCCACAGUAGUAGAGACUUCUUUGGGGCCUCACUAGAACCCAUUCCAUUGGAAGACACAUUUUUCCAUUGGAACUGAUUAUUGGUAGCAAAAAUAUAAGUCUUGUCUUUUGGUUCAGGCUCUAAGAUCUUUACCUCCUCUCCUCCAGGAAUCUCACCUUUGCGGAUCUCCCCACAGCAUGAAAGGCACAAAUCAUAAAAACAGUACUUGCAGCUUCUAUGAAAAUCAACUACAGAAGUUUUACAGUUAUUGCUGCAUUAGAAGAAUAAGAAGAUAAAUCAGAUGCUUGCUGAUAUAAGAUUGUAGCGAAAAAGGAAAACAGGAAAGACCAAACCAGAAGACGCGUUCAUCUAUAUCACAUUCAGCCUGUUCCAACUUCACCUCAUUCAUCGAAACACCUAGGAAAAAACAAAUUAGCAUGAACAGCAACCUCAGUUAGCAGAUUGUGUCAUGCAACACCAGAACACAAUACCUUGUAUUUUAGCCUCUAAUUUCUUCUCCUCCGUCUGCUCCUGUCGCAGUUGUCUCAACCAGGGAAGCAACAAGUGCAGAACAUGACAAGCAUAAUGGAUUUGAUUUCCUUCAGAAAUUUUCUUCUUUGGUGGCUGCUUUGUGAGAAAUGGGGAUUUAUUGGUUAAGAGUAGGCAGGAAAAAUUUGAAGGAAAAUACCUAACAAGCAGAAGAAAUGGAAAAAAUGUAAAGGCAAAAAAGGAGAUGGAAUGCUAGGCAUGAACCUCUUCAACUCCUCGCAUUCGUAGGCAUCCCUUGCAAUUACAGUUCUUGCGACAAUACGGGCAUUGUGAAGCAAAUUCAUCUUCUGACAAACCAGGAUACCUGUUUAGUAUUUACAACAGAUUAGCAAUGUACAUUACACAAGAUCAAAUAACAUAACCACAUGAAUGGAAAUACCAGAACCAAAAGACAUCCUUUUUGUAGCACAGUAGACAAAUACAGUUGCAUCAACAAAAAACUAACAGAUGCCUAUAGAAAAAGAUGAUAAACUAACCAUGCAUAUGUAAUUUAUAUAUGUAACUACAAAGAAAUUGUAUGGUGUGCAAUCAUAUUAGUAGACAAAGAUCAUGAGAACUUAACACACCAUCGUUGGAUGCAUGGCACGCAGAAGCGCUUAUUCUUGCAUGAAUUACACCAGACCACCCUCCCUUUAUCAUUCCUUUGGCACUGGUGGCACAUCAGGGCAUUAUCCCCAGUCAACAUCUUCUUCCCUUUCUAGACAAUUGAAACAACACUUAAAUUCAUCAAAUACUUACACAAAAUCAUUCCAUUAACCAGCUCAUGAGUUGCUUACCCUUUUAGUUUCAUCACAAUCUUUACGCUUGGAGGAUAAGGCCUUCUUUUGUUCUUCAUUCUCUCUUUUCAACCUUUUUGUGACAGAAACCUUCCCUGCAUCUCCUUUCUUCCUCUUCUUUGCAGUCUGUAAAACCUUGUCCCUAACUGUCUCGGAACCAUCCUGCAAGUAAAUGAACUUAAAGCCUACAACAUUCUUUCGAUACACUAGAAGCAUCAAAACUGAGGUGUUACAGCAAAGGUGCCAAUUGAAUUACAAGGAAAUUUCCUUUAAUAUCAUAUGGCCCAAGAAACAAAAUGCUAGAACAUUCAUCAAAGAAAAUUGAAAUAUAAACUCAAAAACACCAAAACUAAGGUGUUACAGAAAGGGGGCACAGAACUACUAGCCGCUAGGAAAAAGAUGUUCUUUAAUUUUUUUUAUUUUUUUAUAUAAUAAAGACAGAAACACAAAGGAGCAUACAAGAGAGCAAGUAUAGUAUUCACACAGCUGGAUAAUCACCGCACUAUUGCUAGUUACAAGUAAACAAGCUCGAAAACAUAUUUACUAAUCGACAUUAAGGUUUUAAUUUAUACAAGGCCAAUAGAGAACAACAAAACCAUUCCUAAUAGAACCUGGAACUUGUGACAGGGUGUUUGUAUGUUUCAGACAACAUUUAGAAAAUUUGUAUUGAUUCUUGUUGUUAAGAACUGCCAGAUAGUACAUGGUAAAAUUGGCAACACGCUAACAUGGGUACAAAACUAUAGUAAUCAACUGUUGCAGAAGAUUGUAAAGUAGCAUACCCCCUUCAUGUCACCGUGGCAUUUGCUGUUGGGGAAGUCGGCCUUGCUGUUGUCCACAUGUUCUGGUUUCGUUUUUCUAGGACCCCUCUUCUUGCCAGCAUCAUUUCUCUUCUUUCUCUGAGGCUUGAAUUGGUUGGUGGCAAUCUCCUGACAUUACACCAGCCUAGAAAUUAGCCCGCUACAUUAAGAGAAUACACCCGACAAGAAUUAAACCAAUAUCCAAUACAAUGGCAAGUAAAUGUAUUUCAGAAAACGAGACACAAGAUACUGUAGAAUCAGCAUACAUACGCAGUAAAAAAAAAGGAAUAAGAGAAAUUUCUGCUAUUGUAGGGGGAGAAGGAAACAGACAGUAUGUCGAAGCCUUUCCUUUCAUUUACUAUGAAUCGUAGUAUAUCAAAGAAUCAUCAGAAAUAUCCCUCGAGUGACCGAACAAUACUUGAUUUUUUUAUCUAAAAAGUAAAGGAAUUUUUUUUCGUUUAAAGAAAAGCAUCUUUCUUUAUCUGUAUUCAAUGCGCUAGUUGCUCAUAUAGGAAACAGUAAUAAAUCGUAUGAAAUGGUAGGAAGGCUAUUUUUAGGCAUUUUCGUACUCCUGGAAAAAAAAUGGGAAUUUUUUUUAAAUGAAGGGAAACUGGAAACAUGCCAAGAGAGAGGCGCAAAACACGUUGCAAAUCCCUCAAAAAACCCCCAAAAAAAAUGGGGAAACUAGGAAAAGAAAAAGUGGAGAGCUAUCCCAGCACCUCAUUGUCAUCAUCGGUGUCGCGCUCGCAGAAGACGUUGGCCGCGUGCCUCCUCUCCCUAAGCACCAUGUCCCUGAACGCCACCCCAUCCAUCGCCGGCGCCGCGAAGGGCCUGUCGUCGCUCCGGCGCUUGGGCCUCCCGCGCCCCUUCGCGGCGCCUUUCCCCCGCCCUUUGCUCCCGCGCGUCGUCACCCCACCACCAUCGCCCGCGGCCCCCUCUGGUUCCUCCGAGAUGGCCAUGGCCGGCGCUUGUGGGGAAAAGAAACGACUGGAGAUUGGAGAGGAAAGGCAAGGGUCGGCCGGCGAAUCGGCGAUGGAGAAACGUGGAGGACGUCCUUCUUCGUCCUUUUUAUUUCUUGGCCCCCCGGGCACGGGAGCGAGGGCGGGCGGUUUGGGCGCGGACACGGCGGCCGAGGCGCCGCGGCGAAAUCCCAGCCGUCGGUGCGGGGACAGGGGCAUUGGUUUUCAAAUUUUGAAGCGGUUGGGGGGAGACGGCGAGUGGAGGGAAACUGGGAAUAGCAGGGGGGAAAAGAGCGCGGCGGCAAAUCCUGUGUGCGCCGCGCCGUGGUUUGCAUUUUCACCCCCAGGGGCGCCGGUGGUGUGCAAGUACGGAAUACGGAAUGCCGAGUAUACUCCGAUCUCUUUCACAUUCACAUUUUCGCCGUAUACGAGUGUACAGUCUGAGGGCUUGUUUAGAUCAAAAACUUUUUGGAUUUUGACACUGUAGCACUUUCGUUUUUAUUUGACAAACAUUGUCCAAUUAUGGAGUAACUAGGCUUAAAAGAUUCAUCUCGUGAUUUACAGACAAACUGUGUAAAUAGUUUUUAUUUUUAUCUAUAUUUAAUGCUCCACGCAUGUGCCGCAGGAUUCGAUGUGAUGGAGAAUUUUGUAAAGUUUUGUGUUUUUGGGUGUAUCUAAACAAGGCCUAAGUCUAAGUGACAUGUGAGAGAAAAAUAUUGCUGAAUGGCUGAUAGAUUCGGCUGAUAAGUUCAAGCAAAUAGACCGGUAAUAUACGUACGCCUUCACCGUAUAUGCAUGGACCAAAAGCAAAACUAUCUAGGUAAAUUAAGGUCUUGUUUAGUUCGCAAAAAUUUUCAAGAUUCUCCGUCACAUCGAAUCUUUGGUCGCAUGCAUGGAGCAUUAAAUAGAGACGAAAAUAAAAACUAAUUACACAGUUUAUCUGUAAUUUGUGAGAUAAAUCUUUUGAGCCUAGUUACUCCAUCAUUGGAUAAUGUUUGUCAAAUAAAAACGAAAGUGCUACAGUAGCCAAAACCCGAAAAAUUUUGCAAACUAAACAAGGCCUAAAAAAAUCAUGCCAACAUGUAUCCUAUGAAUUACCUGUUAAAGUUAAGGUUGAAACGUAGAAAUUUCAUAGGAAUUAUAUAAAAAUUUCAUAAGAAUCAAUUUAUUUUUCACACAAAAAAUACAUAAACAUGAAAAAAAAAACUACAUUCCAAAGGGAGUCUAAAAAAUUGUUUGGUUUUCUUGCUCGUCAGUGUGUAGUCUUGCCAAGCAAGGAUAUUGAUAUAUGUAAGGAAGCUUUUACCUUGCUUUCGAGAGAGCCAAAACGGUUCUCCUCGACACCUUCUUCUUGCUCGUGCAAGAGAGACAAGACAAGAUAAAUCUCUCUAGUCUGGAAACCAAGCCAUGAUUUUUAAGGUGUCGCCUAGGCGACAAGGCAUUCAUAGUGAGUAAGACGUCCAUGAUGCCUAGCCAAAAGUAGAGGAAAACAAUAGAGAGAGGCUGUCGUGCAGCUGCCUCCUCGCUCAUCCCUACCAGAUCUGACGUUGCGCUAGGUCAUCUAUGGCGGAGAUGGCGGUUGAUCGAGAUGGGGAUCUAAAAGAGCAGCAACAAGAGGUCAGGAAGGAGCAGAUGGCAAGCUAAACGGCUAAACGCACACUACCAAGAGGAGCGUGAGGGAGGGAGGGAGGGCGACAUUGUACCCACGUGAGCCAUGAGAGAGAAGAUGUGACGACGUUACGCCCGCAUGAAGGAGGGAGAUGCGGCGGCGCUUCAUCUCCCAGCGUCAAGUCGGGAGAUGUAGGUGUGUUGCGCCUGUGUGAAGGAGGAUGCGUGCGGCGGCGCUGCAUGUGCGUCCGUGAGAAGUGAGAUGAGAGAUGACCUAAAAAGAGAUAAGUACGUACUUGUGGGCUGCCUAUUGGGCCGGACCAAGAACUUCUCUUUACAUUUGCCUUUUUCUAUUUGUUUCUUUUUUCUCUUUUAUCUUGUCGAUUAUGUGUUGGUAUUUUUCUAUUUCUUAGAAUGGUAAGGCAUCAUCUUGACUUGCCUUGUCUUAUGGUCGUCUAGGCGUCGCCUAGAUGGCUCAAAUGAGUGGCUCGCCACGUCUCCUCUUAUAACCCAAAUAUGAACCAAGCAAACCCAAAAUGUCUUGGGUCUAUUUAGGAUAUGAUUGAAUGUUGUUAAAGUUGUCGGUCUGGUUUCAUGGGCUACAUAAGAAAAGUCUGGUUGUGUCCGUGCAUUUUGCAAGAAAUAUAUUGUUUGGCUGAUUUCAUAAGUUGUCGGUCUGGUUUCGUGGGCUACAUAAGAAAAGUCUGGUUGUGUCCGUGCAUUUUGCAAGAAGUAUAUUGUUUGGCUGAUUUCAUAAGUUGCUUGAGAUCUUAAUUGAGCUAUAAAAUAAUCCAUACGCUUACCUUGUAUGUUCAUAUGCUUAUAUUACCACCCCUUUUAUUCUUCUUCACCAUAAAAGAAAACAAGGUGAGGGUCACUCAUGGAGUCAGCUGCAAUAGCUGGGGAGAUCAACAAAAUGGCCAUGUGAACCUAGAUGAGUGUUGUUGCAGACUUACAGUCAGACUAUGGAGAAACGUUUUCAUCAAAUACUUCAAAAGAUUUUGCAUGCAGUCAGAAUCAGACAUACUUUUUUGUGGCUGAUGUUGAUGCUGAUUUGUUAUGAAACAAAAAACACUACUCUAGAAAAGUACGUCUGAUUUUUUUUCAUAUUUUGGUAUUUUUCUAUGAAAACAAACUAAUUCAUAUGAAAUGUAUAAAUUUUAGGGAUAGUUAACUAAUUAUUAUGAGAGUGGUGUUCAACUACGACAUAAUUAAUGGGAGAACAGAAGGAUCUACUCGUGCGAAUCACUGUGUUGGGUGCCUAUCUAUGCUAUAUCUAAAAAAAUAUCUAUUCUAACCGCAACAAAACAUUAUGAUAUAUUUAUAUAUUCAGGUUAUAAUUUUAGAAAUAAAAGAACAAUAGUGUUCCACAUGAUAUUUAAUCACCAAAAUGACUUGAAUGAGAAGGCACGUGAGAGGUGUCUCUAGAAAACACAUAUUGCUCGAGUGUAUCUAUAUUACAAUUUUCCCCUCUCAUAUGAACUAUUGGGAAAUUUCAUUGCUCAAAAAUGAUAUUAGAUCACCUCCGUAACCACCAAAGAAUGCUAAAUCUAUAUAAAAACACAAUUACUAGAGCAAAAUAGUUAGUGCAAUAAGUAAUCUUACUACCACUAUUUCGCCUAGCCUAAUUCACCCAAUACAAGCCUCUUAAACGAUUCUAGUAGCGAGGUGAUCUAUCACUAAAGCACGCACAACCACGCAAGAGCCUAGCGACUAAACAAGCUACUCCUGGUGAGCUAAACAAGAAGAGCAACUAAAACUAGUUACUCUCUAGCCUCUACCCUAUUAGAGCUAGCUACUACUGCACUAGAGAGCAACACAAAAGCAAACAACGACUAUUCAAGUUAUGCAUAUGAAAUAAGAGCACAAGUGUAGAAUUUGCAAAUCACCAAAGGCAAAGGGGAAGACAAGAUUUAUCCCCGAGGUUCGGUUUGCUUAUCGGCAACCUAUGUCCUCACUGAGGUAAGUCUCUAGGUGAAUAAUCCACCCGACUUUCGACGAUCUCAUUUAAAUCUCUCACACGCUGCUAACUCUAUUCUUUGGUGCUCUCCAAUGGGGUACCACCAGACAUUUACAGUUACUCAGUUAGUACCCUAUUCCAUAAUUAAAUUAGCACAAGGCACCCUAUUCUCCAGUGCCCCCUCCCCCCACACACAAUAGGGCACGUGAAAUUGUUGAUGGAUGACCAAAAAAAUACCAAUUCUCAUUUUUUUACAAAGCGAUUCAAAUGUUCAACUCCAAUGUGUUCCAACACGAACACCUUCGCCUUAGGCACUGAGUUAGCUUUUCAAAAAUAUCCUUCCCUUGCAUCUCACAGUGUCACUAGGUUCAAGUUCAAACCUAGGCACUAGGUAACUAUUUUGCAUUCAAUUAUCCUCUGAAUAUUAUGACUAUCCAUCUUAAACCUGACCAUGCACUCUAUUAUGUCUUGGCCGAUGAAAUGAAAACCCCUAACAUAUACCUUUUGCUUUCGAGAUUGUUUUCAUCCCCUCUUCUUCUCUCCAAACGCGAGCUACUCCAUAUGGCAUGAUCAUCCUCUCAUCCAUCUACAAGCCGUGCUCACCAUCUCGAUAUGAACCCUAGGUCAAUCACAACUUAAUUAAAAGCAUUAGUCCACUAGUUGUCAUUCAUUACCAAAACCAAACUUAAGGUUUUCACUCGCCCAACAAGCAAUAGUCUCUUCAAUAGCAUAAAGGAUCACUAUCAUGAGUGGAACUAGUUGGAGAUAGAACAAACACAUAUCUGCAUGAUUAGUUUGAGCCUGAACACUCUAGGUGCAGUGAAUAUCAAGUUGUUUUGUUUGUGCGGAAAUUUUGUGAUAUUCUGCGAAAGUUAUGCAGAACAGCGUAGAGGUUUCGCACCUAGCUAAUUUAUGGCUAUUUUUAUUGAAUUUUAAAAUCGUCUAUUCACCACUCUCUAGGUGUCAUCGUGGUCCUUUCACAAACUAACAAAAUUGCUUCAUAGUGUUUAACAACAUAGAGAUAUGUAUAUUGUAGAGUGUCAAAUGCUAACAAAAGGGCUAACCAAAAUUAUCAACCAAUACUCACAAAUGUCGAUGAAUAUUUCACUUAGUUAAAACAUAAUAAGAGUUGUUGAUAUAAAUGUCACAUGCUUACGGCCUUUUCAUGUGAAUAACCCAUGGCAUUUAACAACGCUAUAUAGUUGCACUAUAGAUAGUAGUGACAGAUACUCAUGGAUAGACAAGCUAUGACCCUCAAAUUUUACUUUAAACAAUAUAGAGUUAACUACGGUCUAAGCAAUAUACAGUUGUAUUAUAGAUACUCCUACAAGUUUCAAGGAACAGAUUGGCCAUAACUAGCAAUCAUUAUUGGUUGCCAAAUUCACACAUAUGCUCUUAGUGACAACUGACAACUUUUUCCAUGCAGAUCUCCACACUUUAGUUUAGCAAUGGCAAAGAGGUCUACUAUAGAUACACAUGUGCCAAAUUUUCAUCAAACAACAAACAACAUUCAUCAAUACUAUGACAACAAUAUUUAGUUGUACUUUUGACACAAUUGUCAAAUGCUUAUGGAAUAGCUCAGCAACAACUGGCAACCAUUUUUUUCACAAUUCUCCAUCCAAAUUGCCAUGUGGUGAUUGGCGAUGGCAAAGAGCUGUAAUGUAAAAAAGUGGCAAAUGCUCAUGAAAGGGCUAAUGACAACUGUCAUCCACUACGCUCCUAUGUGAAUUGUCAUGUGUAGUUCGAUGGCGAUAGAGAGUUAUAAAUUAUACAUAACUGUCAAAUGCACAUGAAAUGGAUAAUGACAGGUGGCAAAACUCUACUAUAUAACCGCGUGUAAAACAUUCAUGGAAAUAUAAAAAUGUAUUCCAACACAUAAAAGUUUUUACAAUAUUUUAGUAAACAUUUUUUAGUCUUUAAUACUAGCACCCACCUAACAUCUCCUUUGUUUUCCCUACCAAAUUCCAAUCAAGGCCUCCUUUGCAGGUAGCUGCACCUCACCAACCACUAAACAAAUAACAUCCAAAACCUCCUUUGUCGCCCACAAAAUCCUCACCAUGUAGCUAAGCACAUACUCUGCUCACAAUUAUCCUUAUCCUCUUCCUCUCCCUCUUAUCCUCCCUCGGGUCUAGAGACGUGAAGUGGAGUAGGGAUCCAUCGGGACUUGGAUUGGUUUCUUCUUUCGUUGGUAAGGACAUAUAGUUUCUACAAAUUUAUGUAAUGGUCAUAAGUUUAGAUGUGAUCUUCCCCUUUUAUUUUACGUGGCCUUUUUGUUUUAUGUGGAUUGAGUUUGAAUCUUUCUUGCUCUUUAUUUGACUAGCCAAAGAUUAGAUCACUUAUUAAGCCUUUUUGUCUAAAAACAUGGUGGUUUCUCAUCUUGAUUGCUCAUAUUCCCAUGCAUGGCUUCGUUUUGUGCGUGGCCCCUAGCCUUGAGUGGAUCACCAAUAUGGUUUAGGGAUUGUGGUCUAGUUGGUGUAUGACUUCCUAACUAGAGCUUGCACUACUUGCUUGAUUUAAAUGGUGGUUUAGUGAUUAUAACCUUCCUUGAUUCGAUAUGGUUGCUUAUCGUCACAUGUUGUCCACUCGCUACUAUAGUCAAUGAGCGGCUAUCGGCUGAGGCUAAGAAGAUGAGGCGUGGCGGCUAGAAACAACUAGGGUUGGCUAAGGUCUUAUUAGGGUUAGAAGAGAUUGAGGAAGGAGUAUAUACGACACAGUGAUACCUUGUUGGGCCGGGUGAAAGGUCCUAAUAUGGCUAGAGGGGGGGUGAAUAGCCUAUUUAAAAAAUCUACAAACUCACUAGAGCAAGGAGUUAGUAAAUAACAAAGCAAAGCUUUUUGCUCUAGCUCUAAAAGGGUGUUUGCAAGCCACCUACCCAACAAUUCUAGUUGCUAUGAUCACUAUGCACACAAGAACUAAGCUACACAAGGCAAAGUAAGCAACUAAACUAAUUACACUAGUUUGCGGUAAGUAAAGGAUAGGAUGAGAUAUUUAUACCACCGUGUAGGGGAUGAACCAAUCACCAAUAUAAACAAUCAAGCACCGGAGAAUGCCAAUCAAACAUAAUUGAGACACCGAUUUUUCUCCCGAGGUUCACGUGCUUGCGGGCACGCUACGUCCCCGUUGUGUCGACCAACACUUGGUGGUUCGGUGGCUAAGAGGUGUAGCACGAACCUCGUCCUCACUAGGACACCACGAGAACCUACCCACAAGUGAGGUAACUCAAUGACACGAGCAAUCCACUAGAGUUACCUUUCGGCUCUCCGCCGGGGAAGGUACAAGACCCCUCACAAUCACCGGGAGAUGGCCACGAACAAUCAGCAACUCGUGCCAAUCCUCCUCCGCUGCUCCAAACCGUCUAGGUGGCGACAGCCACCAAGAGUAACAAGAAAACCGCAGCCAAAUCGAUCCCCAAGUGCCACUAGAUGCAAUCACUCAAGCAAAUGCACUUGGAAUCACUCCCAAUCUCACAAAGAUGUUUAAUCUAUGAAGGAGAUGAGUGGGAGGUGUUUGCUUAGGCUCACAAGGAUGUCAAGUAGUCAAGAAUGCCAAGAGAGUAAGCCCCAAGCCGGCCAAACAUGUAUUUAUACCCCCUCAAGCAAAUAGAGCCGUUGGCUCUUUCACUGGGCGAAAUACGGGGUCACCGGACGCUCUUAAAGGGGCACCGGACGCUCAACACCAGCGUCCGGUGCUCCAACGUCAGCCGCGUGUCAGAGUCUAACGGUAACCUGCAGAGCACCGGACGCUGAGCAGGUUGACACCGGACGCGUCCGGUGCACACCGGACUCAUGCGCAGAGAGCUCCGCAAACUCGCAGGGUCACCGGACGCACCCUCAGCGUCCGGUGCUCACCGGACCCAUGCACAGAGAGGGUCGCAAAACGCCCGCACACCGGACGCUAACCACCGGACGCUCAAGCCAGCGUCCGGUGCCUAUCGUCCGGUGCCUAACCCUAGCUGGGCUAGGCACUGUCUGCACCGGACGCUCAGACUUAGCGUCCGGUGCCUCAGUGGCCAGCGUCCGGUGAGUGUUUUCUCAGCGAGAAACACUCCCGCUACUUCUCCAAAUUUCCCACCGGCGCAAUAGAAAAUAUGCACUUCAUUUUCUCGAAAAGCGCCGAAUCCCGCCGAGCUUGCGAGGCGGGAGGGAGAGAGGAACCCAUCCCCUCUCUACCCUUGAAACUCCACCUCCUUCUCAAAGUGUGCCAACACCACAACGUGUGUACCAACGAGCGUGCACGUGUGUUAGCAUUUUCACAUUCAUUUUCUUUGAAGGAGUUAAGUUAGCUCAUUAGGUUCUAAAUGCAUGCACAUGAACAAUGACACCUAGUGGCACUUGAUAACCGCUUAGCCAAAGAAUUCCUUUCUUUAUAGUACGGCUAUCUAUCCUAAAUGUGAUCACACCCUCUAUGGUGUCUUGAUCACCAAAACCAAAACCCUAAGCAAUACCUUUGCCUUGAUCUCCAUAGGGUUUUGUUUUUCUCUUUCUUCUUUUCCAAGUUGAGCACUUGAUCAUCUUGUGGUCAUCACCAUCAUCACCAUGAUCAUCACUUGCUCCAUCACUUGGCAUGUACUAACCUCAUUAAGUCUACACACACUUAGUAAAGAGGUUAGUACUAGGGUUUCAUCAAUUAUCCAAAACCAAACUAGGGCUUUCACCGGGCUACCGAACGGAGUGGCGGUCAGGUAGCAACUAAGAGGUUUUUAAGGCCACACCAGACUAAAAAAACUCUUGGCCCAAAAAUACACCUCUAGCCCACCUAAUUUAUGGCUCUAUAAUAAUUAAUGACUUCUUUGGCUUAUGGGUAGUGGUAGUGGUGCUAGCUAGAAAUUGAAUGACUGAUUUGAGCAUUUUGUGGCCCGGGGUGAAAAAAGUCUGGUUAUUUUGAGCCAAAAAAAUCACACCCACGACCGUCCCACUAGGCAGGUCAGGUCUAAUUUUUCGAGCGGGACCUUAACCUAGGCGGGCUAUUUCGUGCAUUUAUAGUAUAAAAUAGCAAAAACAAUGUUUUUGAGUCGGGUUUGGAUCAAGAUUUUUUUUCUAGGCAAUAGGAUUUGUGCCCAGGCCCGUCCUAUAAGGUUCGUGGGCGGGCUAAAACUUGGCAGGCUUGGGCCAGGCCAUGGGCGGGCCUCAAUUUGCACAGGCUUACUGAAUGACCGCAUCUAGCUUGGAAAUUAUUACAUGUCUAAAAAUAUGAUAUCAUGUAUAGAUCCGACGUAGAUUGUUUCUUUUGGGUUAGGGCAGUGGCCUAGGAUUAGGUCUAGAUCUUAUUAGGGUUUCAUUUAUUAGAGUCAUUUUAGGGUCGUGCAUAGUGACUAAGGCCUUGUUUAGUGUUGACGGUCCUUAAUGCUCACAUUUAACCGUCUACUAAUCAUGGAAAAAGACCUAUAUGCAACCAACAUCCAAAACUUAGGGUUUUAUCUAACAGAAUUUCACGAGUUUUGAUGUUUGUCUAUUUAUGCAGGGGGUUAUAAGGAAACAUGGAGGAAAGGCCCACACGUCGGGUUUACAUAAAGAUAUUAACGUGUGCGGCAAUUUUCUAUUAUCUAGAAGACUCCAGAAGCCACGGGAACGAAUGGGACGCCAAGCGAGCUCGGGGACUGGGCGCCCGCCCUCCCCCCUUGGGCGCCCGCCCAGGUGUCUCGGCCAAUCAGGCCCCGCCUCGCGGAUCAUGCUCCACCGACCUAAGGGAUUAAGGAAAACCGUACGAUUAAGGUUGGUUUGAUCCGACGGCCCACAUUUAUUUGGAGGGGCUAUAUAAGUAGCCCCCUGGCCACUGGAGGAGAUAUCUCUUCUAUAGAAUCAAAGCUAGUGUUCAAUUAUUCAUCCAAGUAGAGAGGAUCCCUCUAGUUCAUCUAGUUCUAGUUAGUUCUAGUUGUAAUCUAGAAAAUAGGUAGAGAGAAGAGGAGAACGGAGGAGGAGCCGAAUCUGUCGGAUCUUCCUCAACAUUGUACUUUUGCAGCGACUGGUUCAUUCUUCAUCGUUCUCCAAGUUCUUCAAUUCAUAAUUCCUGAGUUCUUUAAUUACUUUUAUUUACAUCCAAGUUAUUUAUUGGAUUCCCGCUUGCAUUAAGUGCUCUAGUCUUUGCAACGCUAGAGUAGUAAUUAAUAGAUUAGACAUGGUGUUUAGUCUUGCAAUUACCUAGAAUUGCACCCAAUCCUGCGGAUUGUUGUGGUAGCCUAGGGUAGUGACAGCCCUAACGGUCGACGUAUUCCACCCCGUUCGGAUCAGUGUUUGUGUUUGUAGGACCGUAGUCAGAGCUUCCUAGCCCCCCUUCUCAUCUCUUUCUGUGGUUAGUGUUCUGAUGUUCCUAAAUAAAUAAUCUUUAAAGUAAUUCUUGAUUCUUAGAUCAACUAGAGAACUCUCAGGAAAGUUCCUCUCUUCCCACAAAAAAUAAUUAUAUAGUUAUCCUUGGGCGAUCUUGAAUCUUAAUUAGUACACUCACGUUCCCUGUGGAAAAUCGAUACUCUGGAAUACUCCCGAGUGAAAGCUACAUUAGUAUCCGUGCGCUUGCAGAUUUUUCUGUUUGCGUUUAAAAUAGCCAACAUUUAGUUCCAAAAAAUUUUGCAAAAUUUUUUAGAUUCUCCGUCACAUCAAAUUUUUAGACGCAUGCAUAGAGUAUUAAAUAUAGACGAAAAUAAAAAUUAAUUGCACAGUUUGGUCGAAAUUGACGAGACGAAUCUUGUGAGUCUAAUUAGUUCAUGAUUAGAUAAUAUUUGUCAAAUACAAACGAAACUACUACUAUUCCUAUUUUUGCAAAAUUUUUUGGAACUAAACAAGGCCUCAAGAGAAAUUAAUUCAGCCAGUGAAAGAAGAUGUAUGUAGACAGUUGAAUUAAUUAGACCAGUGAGAGAAGCCGCAUGUGUUUGAGAAAAGGUGAAAAUAAUUGUUCUUAGCUUAGAUGACUUCGAUUCAUAGAAUUUUUUUUUUGGUAAGAUCACUUCGGUAAAUAAAUGGAGGGAGUAAUUGCUUAUGUAGUUAUGUGGAUGGGAAGAACAUUUAACCCUAAAAUUAUGAUCCAGCACGACCUCAUUUCCCUCCAUAUUAAGGGUGGAUAAUGAGCCAAAUCGGCUCGGCUUGACUCGUUUUAGUUCGUUAAGAUAACGAACUAGCUCGGCUCGUCUUGUUAUCUUAACGUGCUAGAAAGCCAGCUCAGCUCGACUCGAUAAGCUCACGAGCGAGGUAUAAAAAGUACAUAAAAUAUAAUAUUUAUAUUUAUCUAAAGCUUAAAAAUAUUAACAAUACAAUAUAAUAUAUCCAAUAGUCUUAAGUCCAACAAAAUAUUUAUAUGAUUUUUUCUCUAAUAUUGUAGCUCGUUUGGCUCACGAGCAACUCACGGAUUGGCUCAAGUUUACUCAUUAUAGCUAAUGAGCUAAAAUUUUGGCUCGACUCGACUUGUUAUCGUAAUAAGACGAGCCGAGCUGAGGCGAACCAGCCACGAGUCAUUUAGCCUUACUCCGUACCAUGUGGCUGGCAAUUUUUUUUUUCAUUCCACGAAGCUGGCGAAAUGGCAAGCGCUUACGCCCUUAAAGAAAAGAAAUAUAACAAAUGAUUAUGCCAGUCUCAAUGUAUAAUUUAAUGACACAGUUAGCAAAACUAUAAACUAAAUAACCGAGCCAUAUGAGUUUUAUGGGAAUGAAACUCCUCUUUCAUCUGAUGAAACUCCUUCCUUUAAUGACCCUGUCACGUCAGUAAUUUUGCUUACGUAGCAUUCUAUUUAAUAUGCAUGACACUUCCAUGAAACAUACAUUAAGACUAGCCUUAGUUAUUAGCAUUUAAACGUGUUUGUUUUCAUAUUUAUACAUCUUUACUUGCCAAAAAAAUCUCAUAAGCUAUCGAUUUUGAUUUUGGUCGUGUGACGGUUGAGAUUCCUCUAUGGGAAACAAGUUGUUUGGCAGGCCGCAAACCUAACAGCCGAGAGGUUGUUUGAUUUAUGGCCUCCUAAAUAAGCUUUCUGUCAACGAUCAAUUCUGAUCCUAAUCGAAAAUAAGCUUUCUGUGCGUGCUUGUUUUGCUGGGGCAACCAAACCUGCUUGUUUGCUUGAGGUCUUGUUUAUUGGAGAAGAAAUUUUUUUUAGAUGUUAUAUUGGAUUUUUUUAGAUGUCAGAAGGAAUUCGGAUACUGAUAAAAAAACUAAUGACAUAAUUUGGCUAGAAACAGUUAGACAAAUUUACUAAGCCUAAUUAAUUUAUUAUUAGCACAUAUAGUUGUAUCACUCAAGAUUAAUUAUGGAUUAACUACACUUAAGAGAUUCGUCUCGUGAUUUCUAACUAAACUAUAUAAUUAAUUUAUUUUUACUUAUAUUUAAUAUAUAUGUAUAUAUAUGUCCAAAUAUUCGAUUUUGGAAACUUUUUGUUCGGAACUAUACAAGGCCACACCUGGCUGACGGGAUUGACGUGCGUGACGUGUCACGUGCCUGGCCGGCACCAAUCAAAACACAGCCAUCAGCCAUGCCGCUCCUGGCCAAGGCAAAGUUUUAUACAGAAGAAAAAAAAACUCGUAAAAGGAAAAAACCCAGAGAACCCUCCGAGGGCCCCGUCUGCGUUCACCCCCAGAAAACCCCGCGUUCACCACUGCCGUUUCGUCGCUCUCUCGUCGCCGACAACCGGGCGACCGCCACCGCACCCCUACGGCAGGUGCCCAGGUCCGGGCGAUUUGCCGGCGACGAGCAGCCACCAGGUAUCGGCACGGCACCCCUUCUCUUCCCUUUCUACUGUGCGAAACCGAGCACCCGAACCCUAGCUUGAAGCUAUCUGGAUGCUUGUGUUCGGAUCCGAUCUAGUACUUACAAGUUUAUACAUUCAUUCUUUCAUUAUGCUUACACGUACGAUGGUGUUCGUGCUCAAUGGUUUAGCCGAUCUGUAUCAUGCAUUAAAAAGUAAUCAAGUUGGCCAAUCAUACUUACCUAUCGGGGAGUGUGGUUAAUCAUCUGAUGAUUUUGGAAAUAUUUAGCAUUCUUUGCGGUUAAUCAAGACAAUGUACGAUCUUUCUUAUGACUUUACACUCUUUGUUAUGUUUUACAGUAUCUACCUUUUUGUAUUGUAGCUCAUACACAGUUGUUUUCUGUAAAGCCUUUUCUUUCCCCUUUUAGCAGUCCCUUUAUAACAUUUAACAAUGUGUGUGUGUGUGUGUGUGUGUGUGUGUGUGUGUGUGUGUGUUUUCCAUUGCUUACACUUUUGAUGACAUUUUUCUGCAUUUUCCUGGAGCAGAUAGAGGAUUGUGGCCAAUCAAGAUGUCUGGGGAAAACCCAGCGACAGCAGCAGAGGAUCCACCUCCAUUGACGGAUGGAGAAUCUGCUGCUUCAGAGAAGAAUGAUGCUGAGAAGUAUGGCUCUGAAGAGAGUAGGGAAGUGGCAGUGACUAGCAAUGAUGCCAAUGAAGUGAAGAGUGGCUGUGAAAAUGGCACAGAGUGUGCGGCAGAUGAGGGCGCAAAUAUUGUGGAGACCGAUGAUACGAACGAAGCCAAUUCAGGUUCUGCUAAUGUGGUUGGUGAUGUGGAUGUUCAAAUGGUUGACACACAGCAUGAAGCCAUAAUUGAAGGUGUGGAUGUUAAAAUGGUCGAUACACAGCGUGAAGCCAAUAUUGAAGCUGUGGAUGUUAAAAUGGUCAAGACACAGCAUGAAGCCAGUAUUGAAGCUGUGGAUGUUAGAAUGAUCGCGACACAGCAUGAAGUCAGUAUUGAAGCUGUGGAUGUUAAAAUGGUCGGGACACAGCAUGAAGCCAAUAUUGAAGCUGUGGAUGUUAAAAUGGUCGAGACAAAGCAUGAACCCAAUAUUGAAGCUGAGGAUGGUGAAAUGGUUGACACAAAACAUGAAGCCGUUGUUGAAGUUGAGGUUGUGAAAAUGGUUGAUACGCAACAUGAAGCCAACAUUGAAGCUAAGGAUGUGAAAAUGGUUGACACACAAGUUGUGAAAAUGGUUGACACACAGCAUGAAGCCAGUUUUGAUCCUGGGGAAGAUGUGUGUCAAGUUAAGGAGGGACUGAAUGGGGAUAAUCAGUAUGCCAAGGCAUCAGAAGGUGAGGACACCAAGAUGAUUGAAGCAAAUGCUGAUACUAGGAAUUCCGAGGCACAAGAAAAUAGGAAGCCAGAAAAGGAAGGCAAUGCAGAAGAGAAGACAAAUCAUGCCAAUGACAUUGAAAUGGCUGAGAAGGAAGAUAAGGAGGGAAAGAAUGAGGAUAGUCAGGAUGCCAAGGUAGCUGAAGCUGAUGAAAUGAACAUGGUCGAAGCAAAGGUUGAUGCUAGAAAUGCAGAGGCUCAAGGAAAUGGGAAGAAGGAAGAAAUGGAGGACAAGAUGGAAGAGAAGGGAAACAAUGCCAAUAUUGAAGAUGAUGUGAAAACUUUUGGCAACGAAGAUGCAUGCCAGAAGGAAGUCAAGGUGGGAAAUAAUGAGGAUAGGCAAGAUGCCAGGGCAUCAGAAGGUGAUGAAAUCAAGAUGGUUGAAGCAAAGACUGAUGCUGGACAUGCUGAGGUAGAAGGAAAUGAGAAGAAGGAAGACAAAGCUGGCCAGACUGAAGAGAAGAAAAAUAAUGCCACUACUGAAACUGAGGAGUUAAAAGUGCCUGACAAGGAAUAUGCAUGUGAAGAGGAAGAUAACAAUUUAAAGAAUGAGGGUAUUCAUGAUGGCAAGGCAGCAGAUGGUGAGGACAUGAGGAGUGUUGAAGGAAAGAUUGAUGCUGAAAUUGCAGAGGUAAUAGAAAGUAGGAAAAAUGGAGAAGUGGAGUUCAAGGCUGAACAGAAGAAAAAUGAUGGCAAUAUUGAAGCUGAGAAUGUGAUAAUAGUUGACAAGGGAAAUGCAUGUCAAACAGAAGAUAAGGUGAGAAAAAAUGAUGAUAGUCAGGAUGCCAACCGAGCAGAAUGUGAGAACAUCAAGACGGUUGAAGCAAAGAGUGAUGCUGGAAAUGCAGCGGUAAAGGAAAAUGAGAGGAAGGAAACAAAGGAGGAGCAUAAUGAAGAGAAGGAAAAUGUUGUCAAUGUUCAAGCUGAUGAUGUGAACAUUGUCGACAAGGAAGAUGCAUGUCGGAAGGAAGACAAGGAAUUUAAGACUGAGGAUAGUCAUGGUGCCAAGGCAGCAGUAGGCAGGGAAACUAUGAUGGCUGAAUCAAAGUCUGCGGCUGUACAUGCAGAGGUUAAAGAAAAUGGACAGAAGGAAGAAGGUGGGAACAGGACUGAAGAGAAACAAAUCAUAUGCAUGGAGAAACAAGACGAAGAUAAGAUGGUGCCAGCAGAAGUAGAUAAACUAGAACUGGACAAUAGAGAACAGAUUGGUGUGGAAAUGCAAGAUGGGUUGAAAGAGGAAGAAAAAAGUGGUUUUGAUAAGCAUGAAGUGAGUGAUAGAGAAGAAAGUGUUGAGGAGAGUCAGCAGGAACUGAAAGGGGAGGCAAAAGGUAAUGUGGGCAAGCAAGAAGUGGAUGAUAGAGAACAAAAUACCAAGGAGAAGCAGGACGGAUUGGAAGAGGUAGAAAGAGUUCUUUCUAGCAAGGAUGAGGCAGCAAAAAAUGAACAAGAGGGAGCUGCUGAGGAGCAUGAGGGAGAGAAAUGGGACAGAAAUGUUGCUGCUGAGAAGAAAGAGGAAGAGAAACAAGAUGCCAAGCUGACUGCUGAGGAAAAGGACAAAACACAUGAUGGAAAAGUGGCUGCUGAGAAGCAAGAGGAAGAGGAAGAGGAAGUGAACGAAAACGUAACUUCUGAGAAGAAUGAAGUGGGUGUGAUUGAAAGGGGAGUUUUUGAGAAGGAUGAUGAAAUGGAAACAAAGGGAAACACUACUGCUGGUAAACAAGAGGGAAAGAAAGACAAUCAAAUAGAUGAUAUAUGUAAACAUGAGGGACAAAAUAAAGGGACCAAACGAGCAAAUGCUGACAUAGAAGAGGCAGAAAAUGGAAGCGUGUCUAAUAAAAAAGAGAAGGAUGGCGAGGCGACAGUGGAACAAGCUGGCGAGUCAGACAUGGAAGAGAAUAAGAAUGGAGAACCAAAGAGCAAGAAGGCAAGGAUUGAUACAGAAAAGGACCAUGGAAAGGAUAAGAAACAAGAUGGUUCUAAGUCUAGGGAAGCCAAGAACUUGUUGAGUACCCCAAGUCCUUAUUCUCUUGAUCGUCCGGCGCGUGCUAGGAAAACAGUGGAGAGGUUGGUUGAAGUGAUUGAGAAGGAGCCACUUAUUGUUGAGAAGGUUAUAUCCUCACAGACAUCUUUUCCUAUUUGAUUCCGUUGUCAACUGUCAUACUGUGCCAUUUCAUAAUGCUUUAUAAACAUGUCAAUGCAGGGUCGUGGCACACCUUUGAAGAAUAUACCUGGCGGUGCGGAACUAUGUCGCAAUAUCUUUCUAUUUUUUGUUUCGUAAACACUGCAUUUUGCACCCUUACAAUCUAACCUGAGGCAUAUAAAUAUGUUUUUGGUACAUGAAACCUAAGAUGACCUCAUAAUGCCAUCUUUCUUUAACUAUAUAUUGUGGUAUAGUAUGCUAUGAAGUAUAUGAUUCUUGGUGAAACCAAUGGCCCUGUUAAAGUGUGUAUCUCCGGGGGUUUCCAUCUUCUACAUUUUUUUUGGUGCCUGCAAUUUUCUUAACAAUUACAACUUCAUGGCCUUAAUCUGAUUAGGAAACAAACGAUUUUGUUCACAUGGCAUGGUAACCUACUCCCUCCUGUCCUAACACAAUCUCUAAGUAUGUCUUUGACAGCCACCAUCUUUUCAGAAUAUAUGCGUAAAAUCCAGGAUGAGAUUAUGAAAGUAUCUUUGAAGACAAAUCUACACUUCUGACUUUCUUGUUUCCAAACUAACGCCUUGUUUAGCUCCUUCGCAAAACCCAAUUUUUUUUCAAGAUUCUAUGUCACAUCGAAUCUUUGGACACAUGCAUGAAGCAUUAAAUAUAGAUGAAAAUAAAAACUAAUUACACAGUUUAUCUGUAAUUUGCGAGACGAAUCUUUUAAGCCUAGUUAGUCUAUAAUUGAACAAUAUUUGUCACAUACAAACGAAAGUGCUACAGUGGCCGUUUUCCAAAAAAUUUUGGAACUAAACAAGUCUUAAUAUAGAAGUUAUUGAUACCUGAUUUCAAAGUUUUCGAGACUGGUGUGGUGUGACUCUUAUAUUUUUGUAUCUUUGACUUCGAUUGACUAUAUCAGUUUCCUGUUUUGGAACUGCACCUUGUGCUUUCUCAGAAUUUAAGUUUCUAUAUUGUUAGUGCCCUGGCAGAAUUUUUGCAUGUUGCAAUGUUGCAUUAUCUCUAUGUUGCAGUAGUGAUUCUGCAGUUCAAUGACCCGUAACAUCAAUUCUUUGUACAUGUAAGUAUAUACUCUGCUGAUUCAGAUUUGAAUAUUUUGCAGUUGCGAAGAGAAUAUCAAAUAAACAACCUGCCGAGCUUAAGCUUCUCCAUCAAAUCCUUUUUGGGAGGUUUGGGAAGGUAAUUUAAAAUAUAAAUGUUGCGCUUUUAAAAUGACUCAUGUUCUGUUGUGGGAUUUUUCUAGACUUCAGUUAAUCAUUUCAUCUGAGACAGUUAAAAACAUAGUAACAUCUCUGACGAGGUCAUCGUAGCUCUUUGGAAAGAAUAUGUUAUAUUGAACGAUUCCAUGUCUGUGGACCAUGAAUACAUAAUUCACCUGGCCUAAGUGACAUUCUCAGUAACUUGUAUAGUUCAUGCCUUAUGAGUUAGGACCAAGGCGCACAAAUGAAAAUAUCUGCAGGUAAUCUGGAACUUUGCUAUGUUGAUAUACCUAUUUGUAGGCUUUUACUUGAACUUAGGUUUAAUCCUAUGCAACAAUCUGUUUUAGAUUAGCAUCUUACUUCCUUUGAUAAGCUAGCCUGUCUAAACCGGUCUUGCUAAUCAAUGUUAUCAAGUUGUCCGACUCUUCAUGAUUCGCGAUUAGUCAGGCUGACCGGUGACAUGAUGAUCAACUAUGCACUACGAUUAGUCACGAUCAGUCGCAAUUAAUCACAAUUAGUCACCAUUAGCUGGGGUGAUCGGCACCAUGGUGACUAGGAUCGAUUAGACGAUUUGAUAACAUUGUUGCUAAUAAAUGGAGUACUUACAGGAUGAACAAAAUGAUUAAUGUGGUUUUUUACUUUACAUGUUGGCAGAUACACCUUAUUAGUCUUUUUUCUGGGGUUUGGUUUUGUCACUGGCUCACUGCUUCUGGCUUUUGACCGAAACACUUGUAAAAUUUCAAGUUAUGAGGCUACCUUUGAAAAUUGGAAGUCUGGGAUAUAAAUUAGGUGCAAAUUAGUAGCCUCUUGGUAUACAUUUUGUUAAAAAGAAGGUCCAGGAAUGUGAACCAGCUCAACUGAAGCUAGAGUCCCAAAAACCAGUGUACAUUUAUAUACAGAGGGAUUACUUGCUUCAAGUUUAACUCGUGUUUUUCAUUUGUUGUUUUAUCACAGUUGAAUUCUGCACAAAUUGUCAUUGAUGCUAAAGCUUCAUUCCAAGAUUCUUUCUAAUAUACUUAUCCUGACAAAUUGUUACAGGCUGUUGAUUUCAAAAGCCAUAUACUUGAGUUCUCUGGAUUUCUGUGGCAUGAUAGUGAUGUAAGCAUCAUUGUUUUUCCCCCAAAUUUCACAGAUCAGUAGUUGCACUAUUUAUCUGAGAUUAUUAUUUUAACUUUGGCGGCUCUCUUUCUUGUAGAAAAAGCAUAGAGCCAAGGCCAAGGAGAAGCUUGACAAAUGUUCGAUAGAAACAUUAUUGGAUCUCUGCAAUCUGCUUGUUAUUCCAGUUUCAAGGUUAAAUAGUACAAAGGUUGAUGAAUAUCUUUUAUCUUGCUUACUUAACUUGAAUCAGAGUGCAGCAUGAAUGCAUGAUGCAAUUUCGGUUUUUUCUGUAACUGAGUUACCCAUGCAGGAUAACAUUGUGGCGAAGCUGCUGGAUUUCAUUGCUGAGCCCCGCGCUAAGGACGAUUCUACACUUUCUGAUGAUCAGGUAAAUCUGUGGCUACAAUGGGUAUGCACUUUCUGAGAUUUAUUUAUGGAUUCCAACAACAAUGAACAAAACGUUUGCUUCAGUGUUUCUUCCUUUACUUAUCUCCAUGUUUUACACUUCUGUACUGUGCAGGGAUCAAAUUCUAGGAAGCGCAAACGAGAAGUGGGGAGUGCAACUAAGAAUCCAGAAGACACACACAAGAGAUCUAGGAAGGUAACAUCUUGUAUUGGUGUGACACAAUCUAUUUAAUCACAGUUCUUUGCCAUUAACUUGAAAGAAGCUUUACAUAUUUACCUUCUGUUAAUUUCUAGUUUGUUUCAUAUUGCAUGGAAGUUUUACAUGUGCAAUUGCUGCUGUACAACCAGAUACUUGAUAAUUCCAAACUGUAAUGAUCAGUGAUAUCUGUUACUGUAGCUAUCACCCUUUUUGUGACUCACUCUUAUUUGCCCUUUGUGUGACACCAGAAACUUGAUGAUGAACAUACUUCACGCAAAAGGUGGCAGAAAUAUUACGAGUCAGAAUCUGAUGAAGAUGCUGAAGAAGGGCAUGAAGAGGAUGAUCACAUGAAGUCUGCUAGUGAGGAAAACAAAGAUGAUGGUGAAGAAGUUGAUAGUGAGCAGGAAGAUAGAUAUGGCCGGCGAAAAGUAAAGGCAGGUAAGAAGUCUGUAGAUGGAAAAGGAUCUACAGCUAAAACUAAAAGGAAGGCAAUCACAGGGAUUUCUCCAAAGACAGCUCCUGUAGGUACAUUGAGCAAGUGUUCGAGCAGAGUUUCAUCAUCGCCGAAAAGUUCUAAGGAUAAGCAGAGGUCUGCUGUGGAUUUAAACCUUGACUCUAGGAAGAGUAAACCCAUUACGCCAAAGCACACAACAAAUUCUGAAAAAGAGACCAAUGAAAGAAGAUCAUCAGGUACGAUUAUCGCUUGACUGAUUAGUCACUGUAUGGUAAUAUCCAUGAUACCAUAAAUCAUGCUUUCCUUUGAUACAUUGCUUAUAGAUGCAAUAUUUCUGCUUGCUAUUCUGAACUUUCAAAUUGUUGUGUUAUGAUGAAUUAUGAUCAAGAGCUAUAUAUUUUUCUGUAUCUGUGAGAAUACACAGUAGAUUAAUUGAUAUUUUUUGUCAGAAAGAUGGUGAGACUAGUGAAUUUUUAUAAUAUAGUUUAAAAUGACCUUCUGGUUUUAUUCUUACUCUUACAUUUAUAACCUGCAGUUACUUUGGACAUUCAUCUUUUUUGUUGUUUGUAUCCUUUGUAGUGGGACGGAUAUUUUACUACUCGUAUCAUGUCAUUCAUUCAACCCCCCCCCCCCCCCCCCCCCCCUCCUCCUCUAAUGGUGUGCUCUACUGCUUUGUGUAGGGAAAGGGUCAACAAGCAAAGGGGAAUCAGCAGAAGCAGAACAAGCUCUUCCCAGCAAGGAUGAACUGCAAAAGAUUAUUGUUCAACUUCUUAAGAAGGCCGACUUUGACAAAGUGAGUUACAGUGUUUAGGCAGAGUAGCAAUAUGUAUUCAGAUAUAAUAGUAUAAAUGGACUACAUCUCUUAUAAAUGAAAUCAACCUUGGUUCAUAAGAGAAUUAUAAGCUACUGUGAGUUGACUUAACUCUGAGUUGCAUGUAUAAAAUGCAUUUUCAGCCUGUGUUAGACUGGAACUUUGAUUUACCCUAUUUUCUGGUUUGUCUUCUUAGAUCAGCAUUUGGAAUGCAGAUUUACAUUGCUUUUGCUGUCAGAUUCCUCUUACUAGUUCCACUUUUGUUGCUUGUUGCCAUAACCUUGUACUAUCUUUCUUAUAUAUAGUGUGAUCCACAUAGAUCUAACUGAUUCAUUGAUUCAUUUUCCAGGUUACAUUCAGUGACAUUCUUAAGAUGCUCGGUAAGCCUCUUAAUGUCAUGCGUCAGGAUUUGAAUUAUUUUGCCAAUGCUUAAUGUUCUAAAUUCUAGGAAACAAAAUGUUACAGGUAAACGCUACAAGAUGGACGUAUCUUCAAUGAAAGAUACUGUGAAGUCCAUAAUUCUUGAUGAGCUGGCCAAGUUAGCGGAGGCAGACGAGGACUAAUUUGGAAAUGAAGACCCUGGCAAGAUGAAGUCAAAGCAUCAAAGCAUAGUAUAGGAUGAGGGCUGACAAGCUCGAGCCCAGUAGCUAUAAUGAUUGUAACCAUGUUAACUGUUGUUAACCGCGAUGCCUUUGGUCAGUAACUUGCCCUGUUUUGGGAAUGUAGGAUGCUUUGCAGCUCUGAUCUAACCAGUGGAGGUACAUAAACUGCUGUGGUUGCCUGCGACGAUUAGCUCCUGGUUCUUCUCUGAAUGGAUCCUGUUGGUUACUGGUUCUUUGUUCCUUGCAUGCUCUUCGCAACUUUUUAAGUGAGGGUCAUCUAUGUGGUCAGUGGAGGCCCAUUCUUUGUUCGUUGUAUGCUUUGUUCCUUGAAUAUGUGAUAUUGCAGCCUAACCUGGUGUCGUGGUUGCAUCACAAAGAUAAUCCAGCGGUCAUGUUUGCAUAACAUAGGGUUCAAAUUUGAAAUUUGUCAGUGAUGCUGACUUGGUCUUUGUUCUUUGCAAUGCGUGCUUCUGAUUUUCAUUGUCCAAAAAACAGUAGGCACCACAAAUAACAGGUGCUGUACCAAGUAAUUCUAAGGUUACAUUUCCACAGUGUUUUUUAUUCUAUUUUUCAGAAGGGCAGAGAGCCCAAGUGCACAGUUCAACUGAAUCGUUAGUUGGCAGGGUGAAUUACAUCUAAUAAUCUGCAACAAUUCAGACCUCGCACAACAGCAAGUAAGCCUCCUCCUUUACCCAUUUCACCCUUCUGCUUCUUAUGAAUUCGUCGAACUUCUUGUUGAGCUCACUGAUCUCUAACCUGUCCAGCCCUUGAGCUGUUUCGCAGGUCGGUUCCUCGACAUCAUCAACAGUCUCCUCCAAGUCCAAGGUGCUGCCGUCUUCUUCACCAAGCCUGAGCUCCAGCUCCAGCUCCGACGGCUGCUCUUCAUCAUCUGGUAACGUGCUGGCAUUGUCAGACAUUGUGGACUUGUCUUCACCUUCUUGCUCACCAUGGCCAUCAAGACUUUCUGAACAUAGGACACUUGACAGCACGGGCACGGCACAUUGCUCCACCUGCACCUGAUGAUGAUGAUGAUGCUGUGCUUGUUUCUCCAGGACUCCACCAGGCUCGCCGGAAGAAGCGGCAUCGCCUGCCGAUGCGGUGGCAGCGAAGCGGCAGCGGCAGUCGGCGGCCAGGAGGAUGAAGAUGACGUUGGAGAGCACGAACAGCGCCGUCUUGCUGGUGAAAAUGCUGCCAGCGACAGCGAGGAGCCGAGCAGGUAGAGUGGACGAGUUUUGCGAGGUGGCCCUGGCCAUGGAGAAGGACGACAAGAACAGGGCGAGGAAAGCGAUGGCCGCGAGCGCUAAGGUGACUCGUGAGGCGUCGGCGCCGGCGCCGGCGCUCCUCGCAACGCCUCGGUCGCAGUGCUUCGCGCUGCUCUGGUGUUCUACUUGUACAUGCAGUAUGUGAUCCAUGCUCUCUGUUUUUCUACAGGGCAGGCUAGAUGGAUGCGAUGGAGGCUUUGGUCCGAUGAUAGAGACGGGUUGCUCCUGAGUUGCCGAGACCGAAGCUCAUUGGGGGUAUUUAUACUUGCUUGACAGUAUAACAACCCUGCAAACAAAUGAUACAUACAUAUGGCUGGUUGGUUUCUUGGGUGCAGAUGCAAUCAUGCAAAACAGAGAGAAGUUUCAGAUGCCUGCCGGUGUAGUUUCCCCCAGGCCCAGCUACAGAAAACAGCACCCCUAGUAUAAUUUAAGCAGCGUUGCCACCUAAUGAAGUGCCCUGUCAGCUGCCUGGGGACGAGGGACGAAGUAUCAUGGAACUUGCUGCUGUAUGCUUAGUCAGGAAUCAAUAUUUGACAGACCGUGCAGUGGAGACAACCAGAUCUGCUGAAAACUUAGUUUCACGGCUGAUAGUGACAGCGACCUGGUGAAGCUCACUGAUGAGUCCGUUGGUUUAACUGAACGCCCACGGAGAUGAGAAUUCGAUGCCUUCCUAGCAAUUAGCACCGCCGUAGAACGUAGAGUUUCACUGCAUUUCUUUCAGCGCAGUGAAACCACGACCUGCUGGAAGAAAAAGAGCCAUUACAUGACGAGAUGAGACUGAAAGUGCAGGGAACAUCCAUUCCAGACCAACUAGCUCCAGCUGAACAAAGCAAGCGUGUUUGUUGCAGAAAACAAGUGUGUGUGUGAUUCUCCCUGUUGAGAGUUGAGACCACAUCAUCGUCGUCGUCAUCAAGGAGCCGCUUGUAAAAGACUGAGACGAGCACAUGAGCUGCUGCAGCAUCGGUCACAGUAGUAGUACUAUCUUAGCCUCUGGGAUCAUCAGAACACACAAGUUGUCGCCUAACAACUCGCUACUGUACAAUGCACUUGAUGGGGGGUUCACAGGUUUUGCUGGAUCAUUGCAAAUGUCCAAUGGAGCAGUGGUGGACACGUGGCGACCCGAGAUCUGCCUCGGCCACGUGACCCCGAGACAGGCAGCAGCAUCAUCUCCGGUGACAACGCUAGACACUUUUUGGUAAACAGUAUGUCGGGUCGAUGCGUGAGACGGCAAUAGAACAGCCGAUCAUGAUCCUGUCUUGUCCAAAUUCAUAACAACCCUAUUCAAUUUCAGACAUGACUGGGCGGCUGGGCCUGUUAUUAGGCAUGAAUUUUGGAGCUCAGCUCUGUAUGAUUUUGCGAAGACUUACCAUCCAGUUUCUGAUCCAACGCCCAAACUCAGACCAUCCUGCUAGCUUGUGCAGGUGCAUUUGAAACCCUACAAGGCAACAACAUUGGGCUGGGGCAAACCAUAUCAGGCCUUGUUUAGUUCGCAAAAAUUUUCAAGAUUUUCCGUCACAUCGAAUUUUUGGUCGCAUCGAAUUUUUGGAGUAUUAAAUAUAGACGAAAAUAAAAACUAAUUGCACAGUUUACAUGUAAUUUGUGAGAUGAAUCUUUUGAGCCUAGUUACUCCGUGAUUGGACAAUGUUUGUCAAAUAAAAACGAAAUGCUACAGUACCCAAAAACAAAAAAUUUUGCGAACUAAACAAGGCCUCAUCCACUGCAAACCUUUUUAUGAGUUAUGACCAUUUGUGUGUUUGGGCCUCUUCGAGUUUGAGGUGCUCCACAAGCCAUCUUUAAAGUUCUGACGUGGUUCCAAGGGCUGGUCUCUCAAAAACACUCAUCACUCUACCCUUUUCCAUAUAUAAAAAAAAGCAAAUUCAAAUAUAAUAGGAUAAUCAAACAAAUAUGAGGGAUUCUUUUCAAAAUUUGUUGGCAUGCAAAAAUAUGGUAAGGACUGCCAACCGUAGCGCUCCAUGAUUGUUGUGAGCACAAUGGAAUGGAAUGCCUAGUGUGUCAUGUCAAAUCACGCUGGAAUGUCGAUGGAUCAAGGGAUGCAAGCGUUGUACUACUCCUGAAUGUCGUUAAAAGAAUCUAAGUGAUCCUAGACUAAAGCAAACACUUUUUUUGUUCAACCUUUCUCAUUCCUUAACCAAGUUCCACUUGUUAACAACGAUGAGGGUGUGAGGACCAAGUCUCCUUUUCUCGCGGAGCAAACGACGAUUCGAACCACUUUAUAGACCCAGCUGGGGCUUCCUAACCACAUGAUAUAUGCAGGGCUUGACUUAGAUAUAUCAGUCCUGUCUAUGGAUCCUCCAACACAAGAUCGAGCCCCGCGCCACCCGAGAGCACAAUGCUCCAUCGUCCAUCCCAUUACUAGGAGGGUAUACACUACUCUUGCCAUCUCUCCACUCCCAAUGUGCAAGUAGCCAUUCUCGUAAUAGAAUAGCCGAAACAAGGUUUAGCUGAGUAUGUGGCUAGUACUAUAAAAGUUCUUGAUCCAAGGACCAACAACGGACGAUUAUUAAUCAACACAGACAGAAACACUACACUAAGACUUCUUUCCCAAUGCAAGUUACCCAUCUGGUCUCAUAUUAAUGAUUAACCUUCAUUAUUCAUUAAGUUGUUUCACAAGAACCCUUCAAACUAUAUUUUUUUUUAUAAAAGCCUAUCUCAUUAAGCAAGCUAAGCAUUACUAAGCAUUUUUGAAUAACAAGUAACAAGGAUGAUAUAGUAAUAGACAAGAUUAGUAAUACAUCAAUUAGGUUAUCACUAAACUCCUAACCACUUAAUGCAACAAAAAUCAUUAUCACAAAGUGAUGUAAAGAUUUGUAAAACUCAAGGAAGGGUUUAAAUGUAUCCGGGGCUUGCCUGUGUUGCAGAGAAUGUUAGCUUUCCCGAGAAAGGUCCAGUAGGCACCAACACCUUAGGUGGAUGGACCUGCCCCGAGACUCAAUCACAUGAGUCUUCCCACUCUCAUAUGCACUACACGUAAAGAAUGAUGCCUUGCUUAAUACGAUGAAAUGUAUACCAUGAUGUAUGAUGCAUGAUGAGAGGCAUACCAGUGCUUUAUAGAAAGUAAGCAAGUUAAGAAAGUUGAGUACAACUUUCCUUCACUGUACAAUUGCAAGUGCUUAACACAAAGCAUGUUAAUGAUCGUGAUUAGGUUUCAUUAAUUUCGUAACAUCUGGGAUGUUGCAGAUUCGAAGUAGCAGUAGAUGCUCAACAAUUAAUGCUAAUUUUUGUAACAAAAUAACUCGGCAGUAUCAACGGUAAACAACCACGACACCAUAGUUAGGUAAUUAUGCAGAAAAAAACUCCAUUUGAUGAGAUACGAUUUUCCUCCUUAAACUCUGAAAUAAGACAUUUUAUUCCCUCAACUCUGAAAACCGUUGAUAUUAUCUUUCUACCCUAGCUAGAAGUGGUUCCCAAGAUGAUUUCAUCUUUUUUUUUUAAUUUUUUUGGUAAAUACCUGGCAAGUUUUUAAAACACAAAAACGUCCCUAAGGUUCUAAAAAUCUUGAGAAAAAUCCUAAUGAUAAAAAAUAUUUAGAUAUCGUAAAAGUACCUCUCAAGCCUUUCAAAAAAAAGAUUUAGCUCUAGACAAUAGAAAAUAUAUAGUAAAUCUAGAAAAUUCCCAAAAAACAUUUAAAUCAAUGCUGAAACGUGUUUUAAAAAUUUUCACAAUAAAAACAUGAGGUGCAAUAAUCAUGAAUGUAUUCAACAUUAAAUAUAUGUUGUAUAUUUUUCAUGUUUCAUCUCAUAAUUUUUGUUGUAAAAAGCUUUAGAAUGCAUUUAGUUUUUAAAAUUUGUAUAGAUAUUUUCCAAUCUAGUAGAGCUAAUUCUACUUUUCAGAAGCUUCCAAAGAUAUAUCCAUGAGUUUAAAAUAUUCUACUUUGGUUUGGCUUAUCCCAAUCUAUCUCUUGAUUUUUUUCUCUCAAAAAUUUGAUAAACUUAUAGACAUUUUAUGUGGUUUUAAAAAUAUAUAUCAGUUAUUUACAAAACCGCCUUAAAAACCAUUUCUACAUGGGUAGGAAGGUAGAGUAAUUUACACCAUUAUUUUUUUAAUCUCGUUUACACCAUUAUUGAAGGGCCGGAUAAUUAGUUCAUGAUGAAGGUAGGAAUGACUUUUUCCUAAUUUCGCUGAAAAAAGCCCAUGGGUUGAUUGUAAUGCCUAAAGCCCACAAUAGGAUUUUGGGCCCAAAAGCGGCCACUUCGCAGCUUAUCCGAACCCAGUCAGCCAGCCCACGCAUGAGCUAAUAUAAGCCGGCCAUAUAAGAAACCCUAGCGGAACCACGAACACACUCGCCUCCUCUCUCCGCCGCCGCCACCGUCGCCUCGCGGCCGCCCCCGGCUCCGCUCCUCCGCUCGGUAGGUGGGGCUUCCUUCGAUUCUGCCUUAGACUUAGAGUAGCUCUUGCGCUCGCCGUAUCUCGUGUGGUUGUCGCUAGAACCGUCCCUGAUUCCAUUCCCGUGAUCUGGUUUUGGUCAUUUGAUGGAUUUAUAUUUGUUUGUUGCACCUGUAGGUGAUUAUUAGGUGUUAUUUGUGCGUUUUGAUUUAGGUUUCCUUUCCCCUGGGACGGAUCAGGGCACAUGUACUGUGGCGAUGUAGCUGUUUCAAUA